UGGGGAAUAUUGCGCAAUGGGGGGAACCCUGACGCAGCCAUGCCGCGUGAAUGAAGAAGGCCUUCGGGUUGUAAAGUUCUUUCGGUAUUGAGGAAGGUUGAUGUGUUAAUAGCACAUCAAAUUGACGUUAAAUACAGAAGAAGCACCGGCUAACUCCGUGCCAGCAGCCGCGGUAAUACGGAGGGUGCGAGCGUUAAUCGGAAUAACUGGGCGUAAAGGGCACGCAGGCGGUUAUUUAAGUGAGGUGUGAAAGCCCCGGGCUUAACCUGGGAAUUGCAUUUCAGACUGGGUAACUAGAGUACUUUAGGGAGGGGUAGAAUUCCACGUGUAGCGGUGAAAUGCGUAGAGAUGUGGAGGAAUACCGAAGGCGAAGCNAGCCCCUUGGGAAUGUACUGACGCUCAUGUGCGAAAGCGUGGGGAGCAAACAGGAUUAGAUACCCUGGUAGUCCACGCUGUAAACGCUGUCGAUUUGGGGGUUGGGGUUUAACUCUGGCGCCCGUAGCUAACGUGAUAAAUCGACCGCCUGGGGAGUACGGCCGCAAGGUUA
This 547-nucleotide ribosomal RNA is filed under the name uncultured bacterium. RNAcentral's name for it is "bacterial SSU rRNA". It matches the Rfam family "Bacterial small subunit ribosomal RNA", at positions 355 to 896 of the family's 1533-position model. The record is from RNAcentral.